GCUGGGUGUGAUGACUCACGCCUGUAAUCCCAGCAAUUUGGGAGGCCGAGGCGGGCGGAUUGCUUGAGGCCAGGAGUUCGAGACCAGCCUGGCCAACAUGGCAAAACCCUGUCUCUA
RNAcentral lists this non-coding RNA (117 nucleotides) under Chlorocebus sabaeus (green monkey). Lineage: Eukaryota; Metazoa; Chordata; Mammalia; Primates; Cercopithecidae. The record is from Rfam by way of RNAcentral.